UUCUCGUUAGCUCAGUUGGUCGAACGCUCCACUGGAAAUGGAGAGGUCCCUGGUACGAUGCCAGGACCAGGCG
Molecule: non-coding RNA, 73 nt
Organism: Ixodes scapularis (black-legged tick)
Lineage: Eukaryota; Metazoa; Arthropoda; Arachnida; Ixodida; Ixodidae
Source: Rfam